UCCCUGGUGGCUCAGAUGGUAAAGCAUCUGCCCGCAAUGCGGGGAGACCCAGGUUCGAUCCCUGGGUUGGGAA
Molecule: transfer RNA, 73 nt
Filed under: Bos taurus (domestic cattle)
Lineage: Eukaryota; Metazoa; Chordata; Mammalia; Artiodactyla; Bovidae
Also listed under: 4 other names
Rfam family: tRNA
About the family: Transfer RNA (tRNA) molecules are approximately 80 nucleotides in length. Their secondary structure includes four short double-helical elements and three loops (D, anti-codon, and T loops).
Source: Rfam by way of RNAcentral